UACAGAGGGUGCGAACGUUGCUCGGAAUUACUGGGCGUAAAGCGUGCGUAGGCGGUUCGUUAAGUCUGUCGUGAAAGCCCUGGGCUCAACCUGGGAAUUGCGAUGGAUACUGGCGAGCUAGAGUACGGUAGAGGAUGGUGGAAUUCCCGGUGUAGCGGUGAAAUGCGUAGAGAUCGGGAGGAACACCCGUGGCGAAGGCGGCCAUCUGGACCAGUACUGACGCUGAGGCACGAAAGCGUGGGGAGCAAACAGG
This 253-nucleotide ribosomal RNA is filed under the name uncultured bacterium. Its description in RNAcentral is "partial 16S ribosomal RNA". It matches the Rfam family "Bacterial small subunit ribosomal RNA", at positions 524 to 776 of the family's 1533-position model. The record is from RNAcentral.